ACUGUCGCCGAGAGAGGGGAGAGUGAUCCGAGAGAUUUUCUAGGGUUUCGGUUUCAGCCCCAAAUCCAUGGCCUCUAACCCUAACCCUAGCAUUUCCAUCGUCAUUGGCGUCGACAAGUCCGACAAAUCCUCGACCGGGGAGGAACAUAGAGAUGGGAAUCGAGAGGAAAUUUCUCUUUCGAGUCCGAAUGGCGACGAUUCGGUCGAGAGAUCUGAAGUGGAGCAGUAUAAGGGAUUGAAGGAUCAAAGGUUGGGAAUGGAGGGGAAUGGGGAGGGGAUUUCGAUUCUAGAAGCCUCUGAUUUGAGUAAGGAAGAAGCGAAGGCUAAUAACGGCGAUCCAAAGGAGAAGGCUGAAAUUGAGGAGAUGGGAAAAUUAGAAGGCGUUGAGUGUGGAGACUCAACGGAGAAAUCUGAUGUAGUAGAGAAUUCUGGGUUUGAGAAUCAAAAUGUUGUUAAAAGAAGAAUUAGAGAGGAAAUUCCUCUUUCAAGUGUGAACGGUGACGAUUCGAAAGAAUUGAGAAAUGCAGUAGGUCAGAAGUUUGAAGCUGAGAAGGAUCGGAGAUUGGAAAGUGAGGUAAAUGAAGAGGGAAUUUGUGUGAGUAUGGAUGUAGAGUCUAGAGAUAGGAAUCAAGUAGUUCCUUUUCCGGAUACCGUUUCUUUUAAUGCAAAUGCCAAUAUUGAAGAGGAGAUGGAGAAUAGUGGCGACUUGAUGGAGAAGUGUGUUGGAAAUUUCGAAGAUGUUGUCGAGCCUAAAGAUAUUGAAUCUGAUGGAGACUCAGUAAGUAAAGAUACUAUCGUGGUAAGAGAGGAGAAAGAACAUGAAAUGGGUGUUGAUGGACAUUCGAAGGAAACAGAUAUACAGAAUUCUGAGUUCGAGGAUCCAAAUAUUGUUAAAAAGAAAAGAGGAAGACCUCCCAAGAACAAGAGCCAUCUUACAAACCAAACCCCAGUUAAAGCUUUAAUCCCACUUGAUUCAAAUGUUGAUUCUGUGAAAAAGAGAGGCAGACCUCGUGAGAAGAUUAAAGAAGAAUAUGUUCUUGCUAUUCCAACUCCAAUUGGAACUCGUCUCAGUUCUCGGAGAAGAUUAAGAGACAUAAGUAAAGAUUUUGCUUUGGAUUCUGCUGGCAUGAACGAAAGACAUAAAAAGAAAAUUGCAAAGGAAGUAUGCUCAGUAAACGAAGGAGAUUUUCAGGUUCAAAAUAUCUCAAGCAAAUUGAAAGAGUCUUCCUAUUUGAACGAAAUGCUGUCGAAACUCAUCCUACUUGCUGCAGAUCCAUAUGAGGAAUUCAAUUCUCUGCCUAUGAUCAUAAGCUUCUUCACUGAUUUCAGAGAUUUUUGUUCAACUAUUGCCUCUGAGGAUCAUGAGCCCGAGAAACCAAUAGGAAAGAAGCGAGGAAGGAAGAAGAAAACAGUGAGCUUCGAUCUUGAUCCUGACUAUACACAGGACUCAGGAACAAAGACAGCAGUAUCCAGGGGCCAAAAAAGAAAAAACCCAUCUCAAGACAAUGGGCAGAAAGAGAAGAUUCAAAAGGUUAAUUGUGCAGAGGAAAUUAAGGAAGAGUCACCAACUGCACUGAUUUUAACAUUUGAGGACCCUGAUGCUCUUCCUUCUGAAAGAUACCUCAACAAAGUUUUCAGUCAUUAUGGACCUUUGAUUAAAGAAGAAACUGAUAUUCUGAGAAAAUCAAACAGAGCAUUAGUCGUUUUCAAAUAUAGCAUUGAUGCACAAAGUGCUUUGAGGAAUGCAGGGAAAGUAAGAGUUUUUGGGCCAGCACUUCAUAGUUACAGGCUAAGAGAACUUUUGCCUAAAUCUUCUCCAGCUACAAUUCAAGAUCAAGAAGGGAAUCAAGAAGGGAAUGGAGUCGCAAUUGACAACGAGUGAACUGAAGUUAAUUGAGUAGCAGAUCAUCUCAGUGCAUUAAUAGGUGGAUCACCUCAGAAGUUUGUUUGACAAAUUAACGAUAAGGAAUGUUGGGCUCAUCUUUGAUCGAGAUCCUAUCGGAGGGAGGGAUCCAUUGUCGGUUUUGAUACUUGGGCAUCCGAUCUGCAUGAUUGGGAGUACGAAUCAGAUGAGACUGGCCCUAGAAUAACCUAGCAUACCAUCCAGAAUCAGCAUCCACGAGCAAUAUAUAGUGAAAGAGCUUGGGGAAAAGGAGGAGCCUAUAGAUUAGAAAGGAUGAGAACCCUUGGAUGAAGAGUUUGUGGAUGAGGAAGAGUUCACAAAGGAGGAGUUUGUGGGUGAGGCAGAACCCGUAGAGUAGGAGGAGCCCGUGGACGAGCAGGAGGUUGUGCAAGAGUAUGAAUUGGUAACAAAGGUAGAGCUCGUCAAAGAGGAGGGCAGCUAGUUCCUUCCCUACUUUUGGGGUUGGACUCUAGACGAUGGUUGUGCUGGGACAGUAAUAAGAUUAUUUUAGAUUUAUUGUCAUGAUAUGCAUAUUCUACCUUGUUGUAUAUUGUGUUUCCAUCAAGUUACACCAUUGUUUUGGGAGGACGAACACCUAGAUAUAUGGUGUCUUUUGCAAU
This is an RNA transcript of Asparagus officinalis (garden asparagus), 2523 nucleotides long. RefSeq lists it as uncharacterized. Lineage: Eukaryota; Viridiplantae; Streptophyta; Magnoliopsida; Asparagales; Asparagaceae. The record is from RefSeq and is a predicted model, not a curated record. The transcript has 3 exons.